GUGAAGUGAUGAUUCAGUUUAUCCAUUCGCUGAGUGAGCCAUGCUGACCUCCUUCAAGCCCCAGUUCCUGUUCUAGGGACUUGGGCCGUGUGGCCUCCGGUGCUGUGUGGCCUGCAGCGUUCUGCUGUGGGUGCCAAGUACUGGGGGCUGCGGGAGGAUGGUCAGAGGUGGCAGGGUGGGAUAGAAGUCCCACUCACCAAGAUGAGUGGUAGAAUCUGAUCAC
Small nucleolar RNA from Octodon degus (degu), 223 nucleotides. Ensembl annotates it as small nucleolar RNA, C/D box 17. Its record names the gene SNORD17. The record is from Ensembl. Lineage: Eukaryota; Metazoa; Chordata; Mammalia; Rodentia; Octodontidae.